RNAcentral lists this ribosomal RNA (457 nucleotides) under uncultured bacterium. RNAcentral describes it as "partial 16S ribosomal RNA". It matches the Rfam family "Bacterial small subunit ribosomal RNA", at positions 338 to 795 of the family's 1533-position model. The record is from RNAcentral.
CCUACGGGAGGCAGCAGUGAGGAAUAUUGGUCAAUGGGCGAGAGCCUGAACCAGCCAAGUCGCGUGAGGGAGUACUGCCCUAUGGGUUGUAAACCUCUUUUGUCGGGGAGCAAAAGCCGGACGUGUCCGGCUGUGAGAGUACCCGAAGAAAAAGCAUCGGCUAACUCCGUGCAAGCAGCCGCGGUAGUAGGGGGAUGCGGGUGUUAACCGGUUUUUUUGGGUUUUAAGGGUGCGCAGGGGGAUUUUUAAGUCAGCGGGAAAAUCGUGGGGUUCAACCCCCUCCCGCAGUUGAAACUGGGGAUCUAGAGUGUGCGAGAGGUAUGCGGAAUGCGUGGUGUAGCGGUGAAAUGCAUAGAUAUCACGCAGAACCCCGAUUGCGAAGGCAGCAUACCGGUGCACAACUGACGCUCAGGCACGAAAGCGUGGGUAUCGAACAGGAUUAGAUACCCGGGUAGUC